ACUAACAAUAUUUUUGUUAGAGAACACAAAAUUAUUAAAUAAAAAAUUAAGGAAAAUAAAAUGAUUUAUAUUUUUAUUUGAUUUAUAUUUCAAUUUCAUAUAGUUGAAAAAAUAUAAAGUAAGAAUAGCUACAUUUUUUCUAAGAGUAUCAUAUUUUUCAAUAACUAAUUUCAUAUAGUUGAAAAAAUAUAAAGUAAUAAUUUCAUAUUAUUACAAUAACUAAUUUU
RNAcentral lists this long non-coding RNA (227 nucleotides) under Brassica rapa (field mustard). RNAcentral describes it as "long non-coding RNA (BRAP_LNC006584)". Lineage: Eukaryota; Viridiplantae; Streptophyta; Magnoliopsida; Brassicales; Brassicaceae. The record is from RNAcentral.